GAGUUUGAUCCUGGCUCAGAUUGAACGCUGGCGGCAGGCUUAACACAUGCAAGUCGAACGGUAACAUGAGUGCUUGCACUUGAUGACGAGUGGCGGACGGGUGAGUAAUGUAUGGGGAUCUGCCGAAUGGAGGGGGACAACAGUUGGAAACGACUGCUAAUACCGCAUAAUGUUGAGAAACCAAAGCAUGGGACCUUCGGGCCAUGCGCCAUUUGAUGAACCCAUAUGGGAUUAGCUAGUUGGUAGGGUAAAGGCUUACCAAGGCGACGAUCUCUAGCUGGUCUGAGAGGAUGACCAGCCACACUGGAACUGAGACACGGUCCAGACUCCUACGGGAGGCAGCAGUGGGGAAUAUUGCACAAUGGGGGAAACCCUGAUGCAGCCAUGCCGCGUGUAUGAAGAAGGCCUUCGGGUUGUAAAGUACUUUCGGUAAUGAGGAAGGUGGUGUAUCUAAUAGGUGCAUCAAUUGACGUUAAUUACAGAAGAAGCACCGGCUAACUCCGUGCCAGCAGCCGCGGUAAUACGGAGGGUGCGAGCGUUAAUCGGAAUGACUGGGCGUAAAGGGCAUGUAGGCGGAUAAUUAAGUUAGGUGUGAAAGCCCUGGGCUCAACCUAGGAAUUGCACUUAAAACUGGUUAACUAGAGUAUUGUAGAGGAAGGUAGAAUUCCACGUGUAGCGGUGAAAUGCGUAGAGAUGUGGAGGAAUACCGGUGGCGAAGGCGGCCUUCUGGACAGAUACUGACGCUGAGAUGCGAAAGCGUGGGGAGCAAACAGGAUUAGAUACCCUGGUAGUCCACGCUGUAAACGAUGUCGAUUUGGAGUUUGUUGCCUAGAGUGAUGGGCUCCGAAGCUAACGCGAUAAAUCGACCGCCUGGGGAGUACGGCCGCAAGGUUAAAACUCAAAUGAAUUGACGGGGGCCCGCACAAGCGGUGGAGCAUGUGGUUUAAUUCGAUGCAACGCGAAGAACCUUACCUGGUCUUGACAUCCACAGAAUCUUGCAGAGAUGCGAGAGUGCCUUCGGGAACUGUGAGACAGGUGCUGCAUGGCUGUCGUCAGCUCGUGUUGUGAAAUGUUGGGUUAAGUCCCGCAACGAGCGCAACCCUUAUCCUUUGUUGCCAGCGAUUCGGUCGGGAACUCAAAGGAGACUGCCGUUGAUAAAGCGGAGGAAGGUGGGGACGACGUCAAGUCAUCAUGGCCCUUACGACCAGGGCUACACACGUGCUACAAUGGCGUAUACAAAGGGAGGCGA
RNAcentral lists this ribosomal RNA (1249 nucleotides) under uncultured Gammaproteobacteria bacterium. Its description in RNAcentral is "bacterial SSU rRNA". It matches the Rfam family "Bacterial small subunit ribosomal RNA", at positions 9 to 1252 of the family's 1533-position model. The record is from RNAcentral. Lineage: Bacteria; Pseudomonadati; Pseudomonadota; Gammaproteobacteria.